Molecule: transfer RNA, 68 nt
Filed under: Acetobacter pasteurianus
Lineage: Bacteria; Pseudomonadati; Pseudomonadota; Alphaproteobacteria; Acetobacterales; Acetobacteraceae
Also listed under: 4 other names
Description: tRNA-Glu
Source: RNAcentral
AGAUGACUGCGGUCUAUUUUUGCCCUUUCACGGCGGCAACACGGGUUCGAAUCCCGUACGGGACGCCA